RNAcentral lists this ribosomal RNA (440 nucleotides) under uncultured bacterium. Its description in RNAcentral is "partial 16S ribosomal RNA". It matches the Rfam family "Bacterial small subunit ribosomal RNA", at positions 338 to 795 of the family's 1533-position model. The record is from RNAcentral.
CCUACGGGGGGCUGCAGUAGGGAAUAUUGCUCAAUGGGGGAAACCCUGAAGCAGCAAAGCCGCGUGGAGGAGGAAGGUUUUCGGAUUGUACACCCCUUUUUUUAGAGAAGAUAAUGACGGUAUCUAUCGAAUAAUAACCGGCUAACGCAGUGACAGCAGCCGCGGAAACACGGAGGGAGCAAGCGUUACUCGGAAGCACUUGGCGUAAAGAGCGCGUAGGGGGGAUAGAAGGUCAGAUGUGAAUACCUUUGGCUUAACCAUAGAACUGCCGUUGAAACUGUUAUUCGAGAGUAUGGGAGAGGUAUGUGGAAUGCUUGGUGUAGGGGUGAAAUGCGUAGAGAUCACGAAGAAUACUCAUUGCGAAGGCAGCCUGCUGGAACCUCACUGACGCUGAUGCACGAAAGCGUGGGGAGCGAACAGGAUUAGAUACCCCAGUAGUC